UUCUAGAGCUCCCUCUUUGAAGCUACUUGGCAAAAAGUACAAAUAAGGAAGCUUAGAGCCCCAAUUCCAUGGUAGAUAUCAACACUAGCUCCGCUUUACAGGUGGGAAAACCGAGGCACAGGGAGGAAUAUCCAGCUGGCCAAACUGCAGAGCUAGGAUCUAGAUGUUGACCUGUCUGACUGUUCAUCACUAUGCCAUGAGGCCACACGUUCCUCUCCCCUAGCAGCUAUGUCCUCUAGGCCAUUCUUCCCGGAGACACCACAGCUGUCUUUCUUGUCUUUUCUUUCUGCACUACUGGGGAUGGAACCCAGGGCCCAUGUACUGAGCUCCAUCCCCAGCCCUUUUUUGUUUUUUAUUUUGAGACAGGGUCUUGCUAAGUCACUAAGUUGCCCAGGCUGGGUUUGAACUUGAGAUCCUCCUGUCUCAGCCUCCCUCCCAGAAUGCUGAGAUUACAAAUGUGCAUUAACAAACCCAGCACUACAGCCAUCUUUCAAUGUGUCACCCCCACCUUAGACCUUCUGGGGGCUCCCAGCGCCCUCUGUGAGAAUCCAAAUGCCAUACAGACAUGCUCACCAAUCCCGCCCUGCUGAGCCUGGCUCAAUCCUCACCCUCUCCAUGCCUGUCUCUGCCCCCACCAUCCUUCAGCUCCUGUUUCCGGCCUCCAGCCCUGUGUCCUGUUGGGUUUGGUGCCCAGGAUGCUCUUGCUCCCCUUUCUCACAGGGAAAACCUGCUCAGGCCUUUGCAGAAGUUCGCGUUCCUUGUUCUCGGUGGGUCCGCUAUGGGUUGGGUAUGGUGUGGGUGUGUCCCCUCAGGGUGCAUGUGCUGGAAGCUUCGUGGCCACUGUGGUGCUCUCAGGAAGUGGAGAGGCCUGUAAGAGGUUGCGUUCCUUAAUUGUGAUUUGUCAGUUUGACUAGCAGAUUAAUAAAACUCCGGGUCUGUCUGCGGAUGAUUGGUGGGAAGGCCAGCACACCGAGGAGAGAAGACUUCCCCUAGAUGUGUGGCACCAACCAAUAGGCUUGUAGAAGCACCAACCAAUAGGCUUGCAGUGUGGUCGGAAGAAAAGGGAAAGAAAGAACUCUUUCGGUUUUGAAAGAGCUCCAGCCUUCACCAUUGCUUUUGCAGAUCCAUCUCCAGUUUCUUUAACCUUCCAGCACAGACUCACCCUAGUAACUCUACAGUGAGCUUCCAGUGACACCAUCCACAAUGAGGUCUCUGCCAGGGCUGAGCCUCCAGCACUGUGACCUAAACCAACCUUCUUACUUUAUAAAGUGAUGCAGCCUCAGGUAUCUCAUUACGGUAAUGAAGAUCACACUAACACAACCCACUAGGAAGGGAACACAAAGGACCUGAUGCCUAAAACAGCACUGAGCACAUCAUAGAUGCUCAGUGAAUAUUUCUAUGGUUUUUCCAGCCAACCUGGAAGCAACACUGCUUUGAUUUGUGUUAAGAGGCAGAGCUGAGAUCAGGAGCCCAGGGCCGGGGGUGUGGUGAAGCCGGGGUUUGUACUGUGCCAAACUCCUGCCCACUCCUCCAGGACUCUCAAUACUGCACACAGCCUUCAAGGCUCAGAAUAAAACACCACCACCUGCAGAAAGCUUUCACAGACAGUCAGCCCCCCCCACCUCUGUAUCUUUACAGUUCUCUGUCCCUCCUCUCUUCUAAGAUUCAAAAGGAUCUGGGUUUUGAAGUCAGUUGAGUGCAGCUCUGCAGCUCACGGAUCCCAAAACCUGAUGAAGACUUGCUUCCCUCACUCCAUUAAUUACAGGCUCCAAACCCUGACCCCGGUUCUGCCUCCCAAGAAGCUGAAUGAAGAUGGCAGAGGGUGUUCACAGAGGUGUCCUGGGUCUACACGGAUACCCGACAACGUCAUAUCCACCCUGCCAGGCAAUCCAUCAGCCGUUCUCAGAAUACAGCAAGCUCAUUUCCACCCCAGGGCCUUCAGCGUGGGGGACAGAAGAGACACACCAAAAGCUGGAGCAGGACUGGCCUCUCCAGGCCAUGUAGUUCACACUAACCUCCUGCUAGGGUCUGGAUCUGGAACAGCCUUCAAAGGUCACGUGUUCAAUGCUUGGCGCUACUGGGGGGGGUGGAACCUUUAAGAGGCGGUCCUUGUGGGAGGGGAGAGGUCAUGGGGGCGUGGCCUCGAGGGUGAUGAACUCAGCCCCUCCCCUUUCGGUUUCUUUCAUAUCCCUGCUUUCAGGUGAGCAGCUGGCUCCGCAGUCAUCCGCCAUGACGUGCAAAAGUGAUGGGGCCACUCAAGAACUGGAAUUUAAAGUUGACACGAUUCCACCCGUUUCCCAGGAAUUUGCUGCCACUAUUUUUCUCUACCCCUUGAGGAUCCCAGAAAUGACAAGAAGAGAAAGAGCACUUGAAGAGGCUGGCCGGGUGCACCUUGGCUGUUCUGAUAAUGACAGCAGGGAUGGGCGGGAAGGCUCCUGGACACCUCGAGAUCCCAGGGUGUGGAAACGGCGGGGACCAAGAGGUGGCUCUGAGAUCCAGCAAGAAACACAGGCGGAGAAACUUCCACCAGACACAGGGACAGGUGGACCCGCGGCCAGGCAGACAAACCUCCCUCCGCCUUUUCCUGCCUGGCCAGCCUCCCUGUCCCCUGGGUACCACCCGCCACCCACAGCAGCAGCAGCAGCAGCAGCAGCAGCAGCAGCAGCAGCAGCAGCAGCAGCAGCAGCAGCGCCUUUGCCUGAGGCCUGAUCCCCCACGACCGGCGCCCUCCCUCCUGAGCCCUCCCCAGCAAGGCCGCAAUCAUCUCCCUUGUUCAAAAUGAGCUCCUGCAGCUGCAGCCAGGCAGCUGCACCAUCUCGGAGCCUGUACUGGCCUGGUGGCUGGGUCCUAGAGGGACGCCUGCCUCCCUCUCCAGGGUGGUGGUGGCAGUGAGGGACCCAGGGUGCCCAUCUCCACCUCCAGCUCCCACUCCAUGCGGCCCAAGGGGUCCAGACUUGGGAUCUGCUCUGGGGAGAAUCUGAGAGAGACAGUAGUGAGAGAGACAGAUACUCAGAGACAGAAACGAAAGGGAAGCAGGGCUGAAGACAGGGACCCCAGAAUAAAACGGAUUGAGGGACACAGCAAGAGGAGGACGAUGUCAGAACACAGAGAGAUAAUCACCAGUUGUCAGUCAACAAACAUUUAUGGACUGUCUACUGCGUACUGUGGCUAUACAGUUAAGACAUACAGAGAGAAACAGAGCGUUCAUACCAGAGAAACGGGUGUGGUGAUGCCUGCCUGUAUUCCCAGUUACUUGGGGGGUGGAGGCAGGAGGAGCCCAAGUUCGAUUACAGCCCGGGUAACUUAGGGUUCAGUCCUCAGUACCGGGAGAGGGGGUUUUCUAACAAUUGAAUCUCUUGAAAAACUAAACAGCCUCACCUUCCUGUCCCGCUCCAAGCCUUCCAUCCGACACUCGGAUAAGAUCCAAGCAGUUUAGGGCGAAUUUGUGUCCUUGGACUUGAUGACCACUAGGGAUGACUUCUGCCCUCUCCCAGAAAACCUCAACUACUUGCAGUUUUCCCGGUGCCCACCAGGAUGCUCCCACCCUUCCCCUCGAGACUGCAUCCUCACUGUCCGUCUCUCUGGAGGGUCCUCCCUCUCCUUCCACCCGGCCAAUUCCUCCUCGGCUUUAAGCCUUAGUUUAGGGGAUGGGGUGCAGCCCAGCGGUGGAGUGCACGUCCAGCACGUGCGAGGCCCUGGAUUCCAUCUCUACCAGCAGGAGUGAAAAAAACGAAAGCCUCAAUUUAGGCAUUGGCACCCCUGAGAGGCCUCAUCACACGUGCCGCAGCCCCCACAACAUCCCAUAAAUAUCCCUGUCGCCACACACACCGCGCCACGUCACAAGUGCCGUGCGUGAGGCUGAGGACCCUGGGAACUUCACUCAUCCUUCCUUCCAUCUUGCUGGGGAUGGACUCAGGGCCUCCCACGUGCAAGGCGAGCCCUCAUCCCACCCUCCUCUUUAUAUCUUUUAUUUUAUUUGCUUAUGUUUGGAUUUUUGAGACAGAGUCUCACUGUGUAGCCCAGGCCGGCCUCGAACUCACUGUGAUCCUCCUGCCUCAGCCUCCCGAGUGCACAGUAGGGGCUCAGGCCACAUUCCUCACACACCUGUGUGUGUGCACACGAGCGAGCACCCCACUCAGGGAGCCAGCGAACACAGCAGUCUGCCCACUCCUGUCCACCUCCUUGGCCUUGGUCCUGCCCGGCUUCCAUCACCCAGACAGGUGCUGCUGCCUCCACCCUGCUUGCCUGGAUCCUCUCCUUGUGCCUCCUGUCUGCCCUCCCCAGGGGUCCCAGAAGGAAACUGAAUCCCAAGUCGCGCUGUCCCUCCCCCACUCACGCCUUUCCACAGCAUCCCACUCAGUCACCUAUGCAGUUGUUUACCAAGUAGCUGUUGAACAUCUGUUAUGUUCUAGGUCCUACACUAGGCACUGGAGGGAAGCAGUCAACCAGACUAGCCGGGCACUGUGGCUCAUGCCUAUAAUCCCAGCUAUUCGGUGGGCUGAGGCAGGAGGAGGAUCAUAAGUUGGAGGUCUUAGUGACUGGGUGACUUAGUGCGGGGUGACUUAGCAAGACUAGCAAGACCAUGUCUCAAAUUUAUUCUUUU
This is a non-coding RNA of Heterocephalus glaber (naked mole-rat), 4603 nucleotides long. NCBI's taxonomy places the organism in Eukaryota, Metazoa, Chordata, Mammalia, Rodentia, Bathyergidae. The record is from RefSeq and is a predicted model, not a curated record.